Molecule: ribosomal RNA, 460 nt
Filed under: uncultured bacterium
Lineage: Bacteria
Description: partial 16S ribosomal RNA
Rfam family: Bacterial small subunit ribosomal RNA
Source: RNAcentral
CCUACGGGAGGCAGCAGUGAGGAAUAUUGGUCAAUGGACGAGAGUCUGAACCAGCCAAGUCGCGUGAAGGAUGACUGCCCUAUUUGUUGUAAACUUCUUUUAUAAAGGAAUAAAACGAGGCACGUGUGCCUUUUUGCAUGUACUUUAUGAAUAAGGAUCGGCUAACUCCGUGCCAGCAGCCGCGGUAAUACGGAGGAUCCGAGCGUUAUCCGGAUUUAUUGGGUUUAAAGGAAGCGUAGAUGGGUUGUUAAGUCAGUUGUGAAAGUUUGCGGCUCAACCGUAAAAUUGCAAUUGAUACUGGCAGUCGUGAGGACAGUUGAGGUAGGCGGAAUUCGUGGUGUAGCGGUGAAAUGCUUAGAUAUCACGAAGAACCCCGAUUGCGAAGGCAGCUUACUAAACUGUGACUGACAUUGAUGCUCGAAAGUGUGGGUAUCAAACAGGAUUAGAUACCCCAGUAGUC